UCCUCUUUAAAGUUCACUCAUGCGAUAGCCAAACUAUUUUCUCUCAACUCACGCACUUCCUCUUUUCCGUUCCAACGCCCGGACUGAACUUCAAGAGCGAGCAGUCCGACAGAUUCGCGCAGCCAACCAUUCCAGAUUUCAUACGAAAUUCCUAAAGGUUGGCUGGCCGGUGCUGACGGGACGGAGCUGAGGCUAGAGUUAAAUUCCUAUGUUAGACUUCCGCUGUAGCAAUUACUCAUAUCAGUCUUUUGUUUUCCCAACUUAAGAUCUUUAUGUUAAAUUUCAAAUGAUAUACCUGACCGAGCUUAGACUCUUUACUAUUAAAUUUAUGCCAAUGAAUGUCGGUUGUCAGAAGCAUGAAACAAAA
Salvia miltiorrhiza (redroot sage) is the source of this 367-nucleotide long non-coding RNA. RefSeq lists it as uncharacterized. Lineage: Eukaryota; Viridiplantae; Streptophyta; Magnoliopsida; Lamiales; Lamiaceae. The record is from RefSeq and is a predicted model, not a curated record. The transcript is spliced from 2 exons.